RNAcentral lists this ribosomal RNA (497 nucleotides) under uncultured bacterium. Its description in RNAcentral is "partial 16S ribosomal RNA". It matches the Rfam family "Bacterial small subunit ribosomal RNA", at positions 28 to 507 of the family's 1533-position model. The record is from RNAcentral.
GAUGAACGCUGGCGGCGUGCCUAAUACAUGCAAGUCGAGCGAACAGACGAGGAGCUUGCUCCUCUGACGUUAGCGGCGGACGGGUGAGUAACACGUGGAUAACCUACCUAUAAGACUGGGAUAACUUCGGGAAACCGGAGCUAAUACCGGAUAAUAUAUUGAACCGCAUGGUUCAAUAGUGAAAGACGGUUUUGCUAUCACUUAUAGAUGGAUCCGCGCCGCAUUAGCUAGUUGGUAAGGUAACGGCUUACCAAGGCAACGAUGCGUAGCCGACCUGAGAGGGUGAUCGGCCACACUGGAACUGAGACACGGUCCAGACUCCUACGGGAGGCAGCAGUAGGGAAUCUUCUGCAAUGGGCGAAAGCCUGACGGAGCAACGCCGCGUGAGUGAUGAAGGUCUUCGGAUCGUAAAACUCUGUUAUUAGGGAAGAACAAAUGUGUAAGUAACUAUGCACGUCUUGACGGUACCUAAUCAGAAAGCCACGGCUAACUACGUG